RNAcentral lists this long non-coding RNA (394 nucleotides) under Elaeis guineensis (African oil palm). Its description in RNAcentral is "long non-coding RNA (EGUI_LNC028208)". The record is from RNAcentral. Lineage: Eukaryota; Viridiplantae; Streptophyta; Magnoliopsida; Arecales; Arecaceae.
CCACUCUCUUCCAUCAUCAUCGAUUACUUCCAUCUUUGUUGCUAGGAUGGAUUUUCAAGAAAUUCAGUCUAGUUUAAAUCUAAUUUUUUGCCUCUUUGCUCUGUGAAGAUAUAUGUUGUGGAAUAUAGGUAUUAGAUAUUGUUGAUUUGGAACUUUGAAAGUUCACUAGGGAUUCGGAAAAUAUUAGUGGCUUCCCAUGGUGGGUUGGAGAUAUUGGGGGAGGAUGGCAAAGAGAGUGGAGGAUUGAUGAGGAUGAGGUGUGGGGAAUCGAUGGUGGCAAAGAGAUAGUGGUUUCUAAUAGCCUUGAAAAUUUAUCUGUUGCUUCACCAAUUGAAACCACCCAUCUCUUGCUAACAAUGGUUCUACAGGGAAAGUUCUAUCGAAAUUAAGCUAG